GAUGAAGAACGUAGCGAAAUGCGAUAAGUAAUGCGAAUUGCAGAAUUUCCGUGAGUCAUCGAAUCUUUGAACGCACAUUGCGCCCAUUGGCAUUCCGAUGGGCAUGCCUGUUCGAGCGUCAUUAUAACCCCUCAAGCUCAGCUUGGUGUUGGGGCCUGCUGCACUGGCAGCCCUUAAAAUCAGUGGCGGCGCCAUCUGGCUCUAAGCGUAGUAAUUCUUCUCGCUAUGGAGUCCUGGUGGAUGCUUGCCAUCAACCCCCAAUUUUUCUAUGGUUGACCUCGGAUCAGGUAGGGAUACCCGCUGAACUUAAGCAUAUCAAUAAGCGGAGGA
Molecule: unclassified non-coding RNA, 330 nt
Filed under: soil metagenome
Description: partial contains 5.8S ribosomal RNA, internal transcribed spacer 2, and large subunit ribosomal RNA
Rfam family: 5.8S ribosomal RNA (bases 1-121)
Source: RNAcentral